GGUAAGAUAGGUCAAGUUAUAGAUCAACGGGCUCAUACCCCGGAGGUACCUUAGUGUUCUUACUG
This 65-nucleotide transfer RNA is filed under the name Magallana bilineata (tropical oyster). RNAcentral describes it as "tRNA-Met". Lineage: Eukaryota; Metazoa; Mollusca; Bivalvia; Ostreida; Ostreidae. RNAcentral also lists the same sequence under 1 other name. The record is from RNAcentral.